UACGGAGGGUGCGAGCGUUGUCCGGAAUCACUGGGCGUAAAGGGCGCGUAGGCGGCUCGAUAAGCGUGUGGUGAAAGCUCGGGGCUCAACCCCGAGUCGGCCGUGCGAACUGUCGGGCUUGAGCACUGUAGAGGCAGGUGGAAUUCCGGGAGUAGCGGUGGAAUGCGUAGAGAUCCGGAAGAACACCGGUGGCGAAGGCGGCCUGCUGGGCAGUUGCUGACGCUGAGGCGCGACAGCGUGGGGAGCAAACAGG
RNAcentral lists this ribosomal RNA (253 nucleotides) under uncultured bacterium. RNAcentral describes it as "partial 16S ribosomal RNA". It matches the Rfam family "Bacterial small subunit ribosomal RNA", at positions 524 to 776 of the family's 1533-position model. The record is from RNAcentral.